UUGCAUUUUCCAAGUAAGUGGCGAACGGGUGAGUAACACGUGAAUAACCUACCUCAAAGUCUGGGAUAACCAUUGGAAACAGUGACUAAUACCGGAUAAAACCCAAGUGCACAUGCGCUAAGGUUAAAAGCUGCGUUUGCAGCGCUUUAAGAUGGAUUCGCGGUGCAUUAGUUAGUUGGUGAGGUAAAGGCUCACCAAGACGAUGAUGCAUAGCCGAGUUGAGAGACUGACCGGCCACAUUGGGACUGAGACACGGCCCAAACUCCUACGGGAGGCUGCAGUAGGGAAUCUUCCACAAUGGGCGCAAGCCUGAUGGAGCAACGCCGCGUGUGUGAUGAAGGCUUUCGGGUCGUAAAGCACUGUUGUAUGGGAAGAACGGGUUUAAGAGGAAAUGCUUAGACAGUGACGGUACCAUACCAGAAAGGGACGGCUAAAUACGUGCCAGCAGCCGCGGUAAUACGUAUGUCCCGAGCGUUAUCCGGAUUUAUUGGGCGUAAAGCGAGCGCAGACGGUUGCUUAAGUCUGAAGUGAAAGCCCACAGCUCAACUGUGGAAUGGCUUUGGAAACUGGGCAACUUGAGUGCAGUAGAGGUAAGUGGAACUCCAUGUGUAGCGGUGGAAUGCGUAGAUAUAUGGAAGAACACCAGUGGCGAAGGCGGCUUACUGGACUGUAACUGACGUUGAGGCUCGAAAGUGUGGGUAGCAAACAGGAUUAGAUACCCUGGUAGUCCACACCGUAAACGAUGGAUACUAGUUGUUAGAGGGUUUCCGCCCUUUAGUGACGAAGCAAACGCAUUAAGUAUCCCGCCUGGGGAGUACGACCGCAAGGUUGAAACUCAAAGGAAUUGACGGGGACCCGCACAAGCGGUGGAGCAUGUGGUUUAAUUCGAAGCAACGCGAA
Molecule: ribosomal RNA, 900 nt
Filed under: Fructobacillus fructosus
Lineage: Bacteria; Bacillati; Bacillota; Bacilli; Lactobacillales; Lactobacillaceae
Description: bacterial SSU rRNA
Rfam family: Bacterial small subunit ribosomal RNA
Source: RNAcentral